AAGGGUUUGAUCCUGGCUCAGAUUGAACGCUGGCGGCAGGCCUAACACAUGCAAGUCGAGCGGAUGAAGGGAGCUUGCUCCUGGAUUCAGCGGCGGACGGGUGAGUAAUGCCUAGGAAUCUGCCUGGUAGUGGGGGAUAACGUCCGGAAACGGGCGCUAAUACCGCAUACGUCCUGAGGGAGAAAGUGGGGGAUCUUCGGACCUCACGCUAUCAGAUGAGCCUAGGUCGGAUUAGCUAGUUGGUGGGGUAAAGGCCUACCAAGGCGACGAUCCGUAACUGGUCUGAGAGGAUGAUCAGUCACACUGGAACUGAGACACGGUCCAGACUCCUACGGGAGGCAGCAGUGGGGAAUAUUGGACAAUGGGCGAAGCCUGAUCCAGCCAUGCCGCGUGUGUGAAGA
Molecule: ribosomal RNA, 401 nt
Filed under: uncultured bacterium
Lineage: Bacteria
Description: bacterial SSU rRNA
Rfam family: Bacterial small subunit ribosomal RNA
Source: RNAcentral